This 433-nucleotide ribosomal RNA is filed under the name uncultured bacterium. RNAcentral's name for it is "partial 16S ribosomal RNA". It matches the Rfam family "Bacterial small subunit ribosomal RNA", at positions 29 to 507 of the family's 1533-position model. The record is from RNAcentral.
AACGAACGCUGGCGGCAUGCCUAACACAUGCAAGUCGAACGAGACCUCCGUGUCUAGUUGCGCUCGUGUGCGUAACGCGUGGGAACCUUCCCGUAGGUUCCGAAUAAUUCCCUUUCAGGGGUGCUAAUGCCGGAUAAUGUCUUCGCACCAAAGAUUUAUCGCCGUUGGAUGGGCCGGUGAUGGUCUAGCUGGUUGGGAGGGUAUAAGCCGACCAAGGCGUCGAUAGCUAGCUGGUCAGAGACGAAGAUCAGCCACACUGGGAGUGAGACACGGCCCAGACUCGUGCGGGAGGCAGGAGUGGGGAAUAUUGCAGAAUGGGCGAAAGCCUGAUCCAGCAAUGCCGCGUGAGUGAUGAAGGCGUGAGGGUAGUAAAGCUCUUUUACACGGGAUGAUAAUGACAGUACCGGGAGAAUAAGCUCCGGCUAACUCCGUG